UACGAAGGGUGCUAGCGUUGUUCGUAAUCACUGGGCGUAAAGCGCGCGUAGGCGGCUUUUUAAGUCAGGGGUGAAAUGCCACGGCUCAACCGUGGAACUGCCUUUGAAACUGAGAAGCUAGAGUGUUGGAGGGGAUGGCGGAAUUGCUAAUGUAGAGGUGAAAUUCGUAGAUAUUAGCAGGAACACCGGUGGCGAAGGCGGCCAUCUGGACAACAACUGACGCUGAGGCGCGAAAGCGUGGGGAUCAAACAGG
Molecule: ribosomal RNA, 253 nt
Filed under: uncultured bacterium
Lineage: Bacteria
Description: partial 16S ribosomal RNA
Rfam family: Bacterial small subunit ribosomal RNA
Source: RNAcentral